RNAcentral lists this ribosomal RNA (499 nucleotides) under uncultured Glomeromycotina. Its description in RNAcentral is "partial small subunit ribosomal RNA". It matches the Rfam family "Eukaryotic small subunit ribosomal RNA", at positions 591 to 1092 of the family's 1831-position model. The record is from RNAcentral. Lineage: Eukaryota; Fungi; Glomeromycota.
CCAAUAGCGUAUAUUAAAGUUGUUGCAGUUAAAAAGCUCGUAGUUGAAUUUCGGGACCAAUAUGUCGGUCGUGCCUCGGUACGUACUGGCGUCAUUGGUUUCUCCCUUCUGAGGAUCCUUGAUGUCAUUAAUUUGGUGUCUUGGGGAAUCAGGACUGUUACCUUGAAAAAAUUAGAGUGUUUAAAGCAGGCAUACGCUUGAAUACAUUAGCAUGGAAUAAUGAAAUAGGACGUUCGAUUCUAUUUUGUUGGUUUCUAGGAUCGACGUAAUGAUUAAUAGGGAUAGUUGGGGGCAUUAGUAUUCAAUUGUCAGAGGUGAAAUUCUUGGAUUUAUUGAAGACUAACUACUGCGAAAGCAUUUGCCAAGGAUGUUUUCAUUAAUCAAGAACGAAAGUUAGGGGAUCGAAGACGAUCAGAUACCGUCGUAGUCUUAACCAUAAACUAUGCCGACUAGGGAUCGGAUGAUGUUAAUUUUUUAAUGACUCAUUCGGCGCCUUACG